Molecule: RNase P RNA, 395 nt
Filed under: Halobacteriales archaeon QS_1_68_20
Lineage: Archaea; Methanobacteriati; Methanobacteriota; Halobacteria; Halobacteriales
Description: RNase P RNA component
Rfam family: Archaeal RNase P
About the family: Ribonuclease P (RNase P) is a ubiquitous endoribonuclease, found in archaea, bacteria and eukarya as well as chloroplasts and mitochondria. Its best characterised activity is the generation of mature 5'-ends of tRNAs by cleaving the 5'-leader elements of precursor-tRNAs.
Source: RNAcentral
GGCAGAGGGUGCCCGGCCACCGCGGCGCCGUCGUCGCAGGUCGCAGCGGCGGACGCACGCGAGGAAAGUCCCCCCACCGCCGGGCAGGCAACCGGGCACAAGCCCGGAGCGGGAGACCGCAGGGCACUGGAACAGAAACGACACGCCCCGUCCCGACCGAUGAGACGCGCGAACCCCGACCGAGGAAAGGUCCCGAGGAAAGCGAAGGGGAGUUAACCCGCCGAGGGUCGACGGACGGGAACCGGUGGAACGGCCACCCCUCGCCGGUGCAAGCCCGCGCCACCAAGGUAGCCCGGCUGGAGUCGGUUCGCCGACUCCGGUGCCGCGAGGCACGCGGGCGCGGGUGCUCAGCCGAAUGCCGGGUCGAAACAGAAGGGGGCUUACUACCCUCAGCC